AACGAACGCUGGCGGCAGGCCUAACACAUGCAAGUUGAACGCCCCGCAAGGGGAGUGGCAGACGGGUGAGUAACGCGUGGGAACCCUCCCAGUGGUACGGAAUAACUGACCGAAAGGUUGGCUAAUACCGUAUACGCCCGAAAGGGGAAAGAUUUAUCGCCAUUGGAUGGGCCCGCGUCGGAUUAGCUAGUUGGUGAGGUAAUGGCUCACCAAGGCGACGAUCCGUAGCUGGUCUGAGAGGAUGAUCAGCCACACUGGGACUGAGACACGGCCCAGACUCCUACGGGAGGCAGCAGUGGGGAAUAUUGGACAAUGGGCGCAAGCCUGAUCCAGCCAUGCCGCGUGAGUGAUGAAGGUCUUCGGAUUGUAAAACUCUUUCGCCGGGGAAGAUAAUGACGGUACCCGGAGAAGAAGCUCCGGCUAACUUCGUGCCAGCCGCCGCCGUAA
Molecule: ribosomal RNA, 447 nt
Filed under: uncultured bacterium
Lineage: Bacteria
Description: partial 16S ribosomal RNA
Rfam family: Bacterial small subunit ribosomal RNA
Source: RNAcentral